This 75-nucleotide transfer RNA is filed under the name Alphaproteobacteria bacterium CG_4_10_14_0_8_um_filter_53_9. Its description in RNAcentral is "tRNA-Glu". It matches the Rfam family "tRNA". From Rfam's summary of the family: Transfer RNA (tRNA) molecules are approximately 80 nucleotides in length. Their secondary structure includes four short double-helical elements and three loops (D, anti-codon, and T loops). Further hydrogen bonds mediate the characteristic L-shaped molecular structure. tRNAs have two regions of fundamental functional importance: the anti-codon, which is responsible for specific mRNA codon recognition, and the 3' end, to which the tRNAs corresponding amino acid is attached (by aminoacyl-tRNA synthetases). tRNAs cope with the degeneracy of the genetic code in two manners: having more than one tRNA (with a specific anti-codon) for a particular amino acid; and 'wobble' base-pairing, i.e. permitting non-standard base-pairing at the 3rd anti-codon position. Lineage: Bacteria; Pseudomonadati; Pseudomonadota; Alphaproteobacteria. The record is from RNAcentral.
GUCCCGUUCGUCUAGCGGUUAGGACGCUUCCCUUUCACGGAGGAAACAGGGGUUCGAUUCCCCUACGGGAUGCCA